RNAcentral lists this non-coding RNA (189 nucleotides) under Myxococcales bacterium. RNAcentral describes it as "6S RNA". It matches the Rfam family "6S / SsrS RNA". Rfam says of the family: E. coli 6S RNA was the first non coding RNA to be sequenced, but its function was unknown until recently. It consists of 184 nucleotides that fold into an extended hairpin structure with a large single-stranded internal bulge. The 6S RNA specifically associates with RNA polymerase holoenzyme containing the sigma70 specificity factor. Lineage: Bacteria; Pseudomonadati; Myxococcota; Myxococcia; Myxococcales. The record is from RNAcentral.
ACUCCUCUGUUCCGCUCGUGAGGUCACGCAAGCGAAUCCCUUACUAGCUCGAAUCGGGGGCGAACACGUCCGCGGUGUGCCGGCCCGGCAAGUCUCUCCGGGAAGCCUUAAGCGGACGCAGAAGCUCCCACCUACUGGAAAGUAGGGAUUCGACUGCAAACUCUGCCCACGACGGUUACGGUAAGAGUC